GCAUGGUUGGCAGAGCGGCAAAUGCGUCUGACUGUAAAUCAGAUGUCUUCACAGACUUCGGAGGUUCGAGUCCUUCACCAUGCACCA
Molecule: transfer RNA, 87 nt
Filed under: Acidobacteriota bacterium
Lineage: Bacteria; Pseudomonadati; Acidobacteriota
Description: Acidobacteria bacterium (soil metagenome) tRNA-Tyr
Rfam family: tRNA
About the family: Transfer RNA (tRNA) molecules are approximately 80 nucleotides in length.
Source: RNAcentral